Mesocricetus auratus (golden hamster) is the source of this 776-nucleotide long non-coding RNA. RefSeq lists it as uncharacterized. The record is from RefSeq and is a predicted model, not a curated record. The transcript has 3 exons. Lineage: Eukaryota; Metazoa; Chordata; Mammalia; Rodentia; Cricetidae.
CAUUUGGAGACCAGAAUAGAAAGGUAGGUCUCCAUGACUGCAAAGGUCAAAGGUUCAUUCUAGUGCAUUCCAUCACUGAAUACAAGGGAGACACAGAUUCUCAAGUGAAGUACAUAGUGAUAAUGAAUGGACAAACAGCAGAAGUUAGAAGUGCUAUGAAGUAACACUUAAGUCAGUAACUAUGGACAUCCAUGGCCAUGCUGGAAAUUGGUUCUCAUAAAUGUUAAUAUGGAGCCCAGACUAUCAGUGGUUGAAAGAUAAAUGGUUUUUCUCACAGUUCGAGGGGUUUCAAUCCUGCUUUUGGUUGUGCUAAUACCAUCAAAUCUGAUUUGAGUCUCCAAAGCCUUGACCCAGAAGCGGAUCAAAGCAGAAACAGGCACCCACAGCUAAACACUGAGCUGCACACUCCUGGAAUAAAGUUAUGGAGAGGAAGGAGAGAUGACCAAAUGAACCAAGACAGAACUGGAGACACCUGCAGGAACAGUUGACCUGACCUAAUGAGAGCACGGAGACCCUAAUCAUAAAGUGAGGGAACCAGCAUUUAACAGAACCAAGCCCUCUGAAUGUGGGUACCAGCUAGGAGGCCAAGGCAGUCUAUGGAACCUCUAACAGUGGAGCCAGGGCUUAUUCCUAGGUCACAAAUAGACUUUGGGAGCCCACUGCAUAUGGAGGGUUACUAUUACAGCCCAAUGGCCUGCAAUACAGAAAGGAUGGCCUGAGCCCUCCCCCAAAUGAUGUGAUGGACUUUGAUGAUGCCCCGUGGAGGGUCUCACUAU